GGUUAAGCGACUAAGCGUACACGGUGGAUGCCCUGGCAGUCAGAGGCGAUGAAGGACGUGCUAAUCUGCGAAAAGCGUCGGUAAGGUGAUAUGAACCGUUAUAACCGGCGAUGUCCGAAUGGGGAAACCCAGUGUGAUUCGUCACACUAUCGUUAACUGAAUACAUAGGUUAACGAGGCGAACCGGGGGAACUGAAACAUCUAAGUACCCCGAGGAAAAGAAAUCAACCGAGAUUCCCCCAGUAGCGGCGAGCGAACGGGGAGCAGCCCAGAGUCUGAAUCAGCUUGUGUGUUAGUGGAACGGUCUGGAAAGUCCGACGGUACAGGGUGAUAGUCCCGUACACCAAAAUGCACAGGCUGUGAACUCGAAGAGUAGGGCGGGACACGUGGUAUCCUGUCU
This 399-nucleotide ribosomal RNA is filed under the name Klebsiella pneumoniae IS33. RNAcentral describes it as "LSU rRNA". It matches the Rfam family "Bacterial large subunit ribosomal RNA", at positions 1 to 439 of the family's 2925-position model. Lineage: Bacteria; Pseudomonadati; Pseudomonadota; Gammaproteobacteria; Enterobacterales; Enterobacteriaceae. The record is from RNAcentral.